Molecule: non-coding RNA, 89 nt
Organism: Glossina fuscipes fuscipes
Lineage: Eukaryota; Metazoa; Arthropoda; Insecta; Diptera; Glossinidae
Source: Rfam
GGAGUAGGUUCAGUACGUAGGCGCCAUGUAUGGUGAAUCGUGCAUGCUACUGGCACGGGCCGGUAGUAUCUAUGAAAAUUUCUACCUCC